GACGAACGCUGGCGGCGUGCUUAACACAUGCAAGUCGAACGGAAAGGCCCUGCUUUUGUGGGGUGCUCGAGUGGCGAACGGGUGAGUAACACGUGAGUAACCUGCCCUUGACUUUGGGAUAACUUCAGGAAACUGGGGCUAAUACCGGAUAGGAGCUCCUGCUGCAUGGUGGGGGUUGGAAAGUUUCGGCGGUUGGGGAUGGACUCGCGGCUUAUCAGCUUGUUGGUGGGGUAGUGGCUUACCAAGGCUUUGACGGGUAGCCGGCCUGAGAGGGUGACCGGCCACAUUGGGACUGAGAUACGGCCCAGACUCCUACGGGAGGCAGCAGUGGGGAAUAUUGCACAAAGGGCGGAAGCCUGAUGCAGCAACGCCGCGUGCGGGAUGACGGCCUUCGGGUUGUAAACCGCUUUCGCCUGUGACGAAGCGUGAGUGACGGUACUGGGUAAAGAAGCACCGGCUAACUACGU
RNAcentral lists this ribosomal RNA (467 nucleotides) under uncultured bacterium. Its description in RNAcentral is "partial 16S ribosomal RNA". It matches the Rfam family "Bacterial small subunit ribosomal RNA", at positions 28 to 506 of the family's 1533-position model. The record is from RNAcentral.